RNAcentral lists this small nucleolar RNA (205 nucleotides) under Blastobotrys adeninivorans. Lineage: Eukaryota; Fungi; Ascomycota; Dipodascomycetes; Dipodascales; Trichomonascaceae. The record is from RNAcentral.
AACGCUAAAUUAACAGCUGGGAGCAACAGCAUUCUUGUGAGGUGAGCCCUGCGGGCUUGCCCAGGACGCACUGAAUCAACCCUUCGGGGGCUCCGCUGGAGACUAAAGAGUCAAUCUUGGGUGCACCGGGUUUUUUGAGCUUUGCUCGUAGGUGAUCCCUUCGUGGACCCGGAUGGGAUCUGGUGCAAUGAUUGGCCCAACAUUA